Molecule: small nuclear RNA, 160 nt
Organism: Dromaius novaehollandiae (emu)
Lineage: Eukaryota; Metazoa; Chordata; Aves; Casuariiformes; Dromaiidae
Product: U1 spliceosomal RNA
Exons: 1
Source: RefSeq, a predicted model, not a curated record
ACAACCUGGCAGGGCAGACAUAUGAUCAAGAAGAUCAUUUUCCCAGGGUGAGGUUUAUCCCUUGCAUUCUGGGUGUGCUGACCCCUGCAGUUUCCACAAAUAUGGGAAACUCAGCUUAAUAGUUUGUGGUAGUGGGAGACUGUGUUCACUCACCCUCCUG